GUUAACUUGCUCUUCAUGCCAUUGGACCACCACUGGGUCUUAAAGAAGAAUUGCAUGAAUUCAGGUGGCUUCUCAACUGUGUUUCUGGUACGUACCCAUGGUGGGAUACGUUGCGCACUGAAACGAAUGUAUGUUAAUAAUGUGCCAGACCUCAACAUAUGCAAGAGAGAAAUCACAAUUAUGAAAGAGUUAUCUGGGCACAAGAAUAUUGUGAGCUAUUUGGAUUGUGCUGUUAACACUAUAAGUGAUAACGUUUGGGAGGUACUCAUUCUCAUGGAGUACUGUCGAGCUGGGCAAGUUGUGAAUCAAAUGAAUCAGCGUCUGCAGACAGGCUUUACUGAGUCAGAAGUAAUGAGAAUAUUUUGUGAUACCUGUGAAGCUGUUGCCCGGUUGCAUCAGUGCAAAACACCUAUAGUUCACCGGGAUCUAAAGGUGGAGAACAUAUUGUUAAACGAUAAUGGGAACUAUGUUCUCUGUGAUUUUGGCAGUGCUACCAACAAAUAUCUGAAUCCUCAAAAAGAUGGUGUUAAUGUGGUUGAAGAAGAAAUUAAAAAGUAUACGACGCUAUCAUACAGAGCUCCUGAGAUGAUUAAUCUUUAUGGAGGAAAACCAAUUACUACCAAGGCAGAUAUCUGGGCACUUGGCUGCUUGCUGUAUAAACUUUGUUUCUUCUCACUUCCCUUUGGAGAAAGUCAAGUUGCUAUUUGCGAUGGAAGCUUUACCAUUCCAGACAAUUCUCGAUACUCCCAUAGUAUACACUGUUUGAUAAGAUAUAUGCUUGAACCAGAUCAAGAACAGAGGCCUGAUAUCUUUCAAGUAUCUUCCUUUGCCUUUAAACAUGCCAAAAAGGAUUGUCCAGUGUCUAAUAUUAAUAAUUCUCCUAUCCCUUCAACUCUUCCUGAACCCAUGACAGCUAGUGAGGCAGCUGCUAGAAAAAGCCAAAUAAAAGCAAGAAUAACAGAUACUGUUGGACCAACAGAAACCUCAAUUGCACCACGACAAAGACCAAAGGCCAAUUCAAGUACUGCCACUUCUAGUGUGCUGACGAUCCAGAGCUCAGCAACUCCAGUCAAAGUACAAGUCCCUGGUGAAUUUGGUAAUCGUGGGCAAAAAGGAGCCAUGCGCCCAGGGAAUGGGCCAGAAAUGUUACAGUCCCAAGGGACCAACCAGCAUCCCCCACAGCAGAACAGAGUUCUGCAGCAGCUGCAGCAAGGGGACUGGAGACUACAGCAGCUACACCAUUUGCAUCACCAGCAGCAGCAACCUACAGUUCAGGAUGCUUACAUUCAGCAGUAUCAACAAGCAAUGCACCAGCAGAUGGUCCAACAGCAGCUGUUGAUGCAGUCUGUGUACCAGCAGCAACCUUCCCAAUCUCAGUAUCCUGCUAUGGUGCAGCAAUAUCAGCAUGCUCUCCUACAGCAGCAGAUGCUGGCUCAGCAGCAACAGCGGUCACAACAGGCACAGUCUCCUGAAUAUAUCACUUCUCCACAAGACUUCUCACCAGCCUUAAUCUCCUACCCUGGGUCACUUCCAGUGCAUGCUGGAACAGUGGCAGAUUGUCCCUACCCUGCAAGCAGGCCACGUAUUCUUGAUGCUGAAGCAAUUGCCAGUUACCCAAAGCAGAGCAUUAAUAACCCACCUGAUAUGUCAGGCUGGAACCCAUUUGGAGAGGACAAUUUUUCCAAGUUGACAGAGGAGGAGCUGCUGGACAGAGAAUUUGACCUGCUAAGAACAAACAGGCUGGUGGACAGGAGGGCAUCUUCAGAUAAGAAUGUGGAGCCCCAUUCUGCUCCACAGAAAAAUCAUCCUGAAGAUCCGUUUGGUUCUGUUCCUUUCAUUUCUCACGCAGGUUCCCCUGGAAAACAAGUGGAUAACUCGGCCAGCAAUCAAGGAAAUAACUUAGGGACCCCAACCAAGGCUGGAAAACUGAGCCAUGCUUUUAGAGAUCCCCGACCGGGGAGGAAAACUGCAGAGGGACAAGUGACAAAAGGUGGCGAUGAGUCAGAGAGUGAUUUUGAAUCUGAUCCUCCUUCUCCCAAGAGCAGUGAGGAAGAAGAAGAACAGGAGGAUGAAGAAGUUUUGCAGGGAGAGAAUGGAGACUUCAAUGAUGACAAUGAUACAGAACCAGAGAAUUUAGGUCACCGACCUCUCCUCAUGGACUCUGAGGAAGAGGUAGAGGAAGAGGAGGAAGAGAAGCAGAGUUCUGAUUCCGAUUCUGAUCGUACCAAGCAAAAAUCUACAGAAGGGCUCCUAAGCACUAGGUUCAGAGAUGAUGUGGGCAGUGGUGAAAUCAAAGAACCCAGUUCAAUGCAUAUGUCCUUGUCUGAGAUGCCAAAUACUGUAACCAAGGUGAAACCUGACCAAGAAUUUGAUGUGUUUGGGGCAGUGCCCUUUUUUACUCUGCAGCCUCAGGCAAGAGAGAAGAUAGGCAAAGAUGUCUCUUCUCAGAUGGCUUUUCCUGGCAUGAACCAAGAGCAGGAUGACUUUGAUGUUUUCACAAAAGCCCCUUUCAGCAGAAAGGUGUCUCAGCAAGAUGGCCAGGUGGCAGGUACUGAGCCUCUGCUCUCCCCCACCUCUCCACGGAGUGUUGAUAUUUUUGGCUGCACGCCAUUUCAGCCUUCCCUUCUCCCCAAGACUGGUGGAAGUAAAGAGGACCUGUUUGGGCUGGUUCCUUUUGAAGAGAUCACAGGGAGUCACCAGCAGCAACAGAAGGUGAAGCAGCAGCGUAACCUGCAGAAACUUUCUUCCCGCCAAAGGCGCAUGAAACAGGAGGUCUCAAAGAACAACGGAAAGCGCCACCAUGGUACCCCAACCACCACGAAGAAGGCAUUGAAACCGAGCUACCGCACCCCAGAGAGAGCCCGCAGACACAAAAAAGCAGGCCGCAGGGACUCACAGAGCAGCAACGAGUUCCUGACUAUCUCGGACUCCAAAGAGAACAUAAGCGUUGCGUUGACUGACAGCAAAGAUCGAACCAACCCUCUGCAGACAGAUGAGAGUCUGCUGGAUCCUUUUGGAGCCAAACCCUUCCACCCACCGGACUUGAUGCGGCAUCCCCAGCAUCAAGGGUUUGGUGACAACCGUGGGGAUCACGGCACAGUAGUAGUGGCUGGUAGACCUAGGCAGAGCUCCUUGCAUGGAGCCAUUCAUGGUGGUGAUGGGCUGAAAACAGAUGACUUUGGUGCAGUACCCUUCACAGAACUGGUUGUGCAGAGUGCGCAGAGUCAGCAGCAACAGACACUAGAGUUAGAUCCCUUUGGAGCAGCUCCGUUUCCUUCCAAACAGUAAAUGCUUCCAAUGGGUUCCACCCCUCUGACUUACUUGAUAGAGAUUUUAAUUAGUGGAGUAAUUUAUCUGGUUGAAUUGGCAGGGACCUGGGCUGUACAGUUUGUUCAAGUUCAAGAAGGCAUGGCCAGCUUGCAUGAUGACAUUUAGAGGGAUGGCAAAUUUUUAUUGGGGUUUUUUUUGAGAAAAAUAGAAAAAAAACCCAAACUGGGAGUGUCAUUUUGUUAUGACACGUGCCUCCCAGAAAGAAAAAUCAGGUAUGAGUCAUUGUCUGCCACUGACUUUGGGCCCUGGAACAUACUGUCAUUCUGCACUUUUGUGUUGCCUUUUCAGUCCUCUGUGAUGUGCUGAGAUGGAGGGAGAGGGACAGUCAGAGAGCACAUGAAAGACAUUUUCCAUACAUACAGAACAGAAGCAGUAAGCAGCAAGUAGCUUGCUGAAGCUGAUUGCUACUCUGCCAGUAAACUGCAUUUCACACCACAAAGCCUUAUGGGCAGGACUGCUGUCCUGCUGCACAGUACCUCUGAGACAUCAGGUGCUUGGGAGCACGCGGUGCUGGUAGGUGAUGGAAGGUGAUGCGAACAGACUCGUUGAGGACAAGAUUUUGUUACUGUGUUGCAGAAGUUUGUGCUGUGUAGGCAGGACGGCUUCUCAACUGCCUCACAACUUGUGCCAAGCCACGUACACUGUCUGCAGAGCAAGUACGACUCGGGACGGUCCAGUCUGCCUUUUUUCCAUGGCAGUUGUAGAGAGGAAGCAGAAAGAGGUAGUUCCUCUGCUUGUCUCAACGUUGUAUCCUGCUCUGCUGAAUGCUGAUGAGUAGAUAAUUGGAUGUUUUUAUAUGGAGGACAUAGGUGUUUGUGGUUGUCUCCCCCACUUUCACAGGAGGUAAAGUGAAAUAUUUAGGGUUGUGCUUUGGGUUUUUUCCAAAGUUUCCUGAUGGUUAUACAGUCAUCUUAAGACUUGUGAGGGUGGGGCUGGAUCCAUUACAGUAUCUGUUGAAAACAACACAUUAAAAACGUGUCACUUGACUCCUCUGGGGGUUGGUUUGAUAAAAGGCUUCCUCAGAUAUGUGAGAUUGCUUCCACUGGUCCUGGAAUUUGAAAGUAACACAUACGUAUAUGUACACUGUCAUUACCUUUAUCUUCCUUGUUUUCAUUUUUCUCACAGUGUGAAAGUGAAAUAUUACAGCUGUGCUUGGUUAAAUAUGUCUUUUUCAGGCUUAGAAAUUAAGCUUUUAGGAGAUUAUAAGUAGAAAUGUUUCAACUCUAUUUGCACAGGAUUUUCCUAGGCUUUAUUACUACUGUUCUCACCUGUUUUUUUGUGCCAAAGGCUGUAAGAAGCGCACGCCAAGUUGUGUAGCAUUUUCUGAUACUCAGGUUAACUGUCUUUUUUUUUUUCUCUACACGUGCUUAUGAGCUGCCUUCCUACAGUAUCCUUCUGAACUGUUACUUACCUGCCUAAAGAGCUGUUGGAGCAGAGUAUGACAUGACAAAUGGGGCAGGUGGGUGGAAACAAAAUGAAAAUAAAACAGACAACUGACCCAUGGUCUUAAAUGUGGCUAGUCCUUGCCAAAGCCACGCAGGUGCUGCUGGUGGAAAAGCAACUUCAGGGCUUGCUCGGCUGUUUGGUGCCAGAGGAAAGGGUUAACAACGUGUAUGGGACUAGGGCUCAGCUCCAAGCAGAGGGAAAAUGCUGUGCAUCAUCAGACUUAUCAUGGGCCUAAAUAUUGAGGUAAAUUAAGAAUAGGGGUAAGUGUGUUUGGUUUUUGCCUGUUUAUCCUGAGACUUCAGGCUGAGGAGCACUACAGGUUUUCUUUGUGUGACAGGUUGGUUUGGUUUUUGGUAGAGGGUCCGUAAGUGGUUUAUAUUACAGUACAGGAAAGCUGGAGUGAGGUUGUACACAGAAACUGAGACCUGAGAUAAAAGCAAGCUGUAAAACCAUGAUACUCUACAAGUGGCAUAAUGCCUCUGGCUGCAUAUGAGUUACGGCCGAUAUUUACUUCCUGAUGGCCUUAAUAAACCUUGUUCUUUGUAUUCUAGUUAUGAAACAGGUUUUUGCAUAAAUGUAACUUUUUCGUUUCUAGAGUUAAAAUUAUUUUAUCCUUUCUUGUGACUGAAAAGAGAUUAGUAUGCCUCGCCAAGUUGUCUUUGUGUGGUGCAUAAUGUUUGUACACAACUAAACCCUAGUUUGGGUUUAAUUUCAGCUAAGAUCCACUGUUCAACAGAGACAAAACACGGUACUGCUGGGGAAUGUGACAGCCUUUUGCCUUCAUUUGGGGUGUGUGUGUGUGUGUGUGCUCGUGUGUGUGCUUGCCAUGGGGUGUAUCAUGACCUUACCUGAAAUACAGGAAAGACCUUGUUGCACUAGACAUGUAUCGUACUGUCUGUGAAGACAAUAAUGGCAAGGUAAGGAGCUGACACUUCCUUUCCCACUGAAAAUGUCAAUUGAUUUUUACAGCUUUCAGCAUGUUGGGAUGACCGAACUGCAGGCUUUUUAGAAUCAGCUGCUUGAGAGAGAGAUAUUCUGUCCAAAGGUACUAAGAAGCCCUUAACAGUUGCAGACAUUGAAAGAAAAGUAAGAUAGUUAUGUUUCUCUGCGGACUCUCAAACGGCCUUGAGAUGUCCGCAUUUGCUUUGGCUGAACUGUGUAAUGUGGGAUUUGUGGAUACCACCUUUGGAGGAGAUAACUUAAUCAUUCUGGGUGUCCCAGUUAGUAAAACCAAGUACUGUGAAAAUAAGUUGAUAUAUUUGCUACUGUGAGAAUAAGAGUUUAUGUGGAGUUUUUUAUACUAUAUCGUGUAUUUUUAUAUAUGAAAAGUAUAUAUAAAAUAUACACAUGCUCGCACACAUCAUGUAUCUCUUGGAGUUGCUGUGUUUCUAGUAAUACAGCAGCCACAAUCACUUUCAUGUGACUUGAGGGAGUGAAUAUGAAUGAAAGCUGCAAAAGAAUAAAGAAUGGCAAAGGGUGGCUGCUGCGUUACUUUUCCAUAGUGCUUAUUUUGAAAGGAAAAUCAAGGAAAUUGUGUGUAUAGCUCAAUUUGUGACUAAGGCAUCACAUAAUAUUAAAGAGCAUAAAAAUUAUGUUAAAAUUGCUGGCAUUCAGCUUUUAAGUGCACUUUCCUGAACUACACUUCAAUUUCUUGUUAGACUUCAAGUUUCUAAAGCUUUUUUGUGUACCACUAAACAGAGAACUUUUAACUUUUUUGUGAAACUGAUGUACGUCAUAAAAUACUUGCAGUUGUUAAAUAAACAGAUGUGAUAACAGUGACUUUGUAGAUCUCUUUAAACAUUGCUUUAUUAAGUAUUCACAUUUAGGCUUUAAUUUACUCAUUAUAAGCAGUGCUGCUUCUGCUGAUUUCAUUUUGUGGCUGUAGACCUGUCACUCU
Athene cunicularia (burrowing owl) is the source of this 6673-nucleotide RNA transcript. It is a transcript of the gene named BMP2 inducible kinase, with no coding region annotated. NCBI's taxonomy places the organism in Eukaryota, Metazoa, Chordata, Aves, Strigiformes, Strigidae. The record is from RefSeq and is a predicted model, not a curated record. The transcript is spliced from 17 exons.